Molecule: ribosomal RNA, 496 nt
Filed under: uncultured bacterium
Lineage: Bacteria
Description: partial 16S ribosomal RNA
Rfam family: Bacterial small subunit ribosomal RNA
Source: RNAcentral
AUGAACGCUGGCGGCGUGCCUAAUCCAUGCAAGUCGAGCGAACGGACGAGAAGCUUGCUUCUCUGAUGUUAGCGGCGGACGGGUGAGUAACACGUGGAUAACCUACCUAUAAGACUGGGAUAACUUCGGGAAACCGGAGCUAAUACCGGAUAAUAUUUUGAACCGCCUGGUUCAAAAGUGAAAGACGGUCUUGCUGUCACUUAUAGAUGGAUCCGCGCUGCAUUAGCUAGUUGGUAAGGUAACGGCUUACCAAGGCAACGAUGCAUAGCCGACCUGAGAGGGUGAUCGGCCACACUGGAACUGAGACACGGUCCAGACUCCUACGGGAGGCAGCAGUAGGGAAUCUUCCGCAAUGGGCGAAAGCCUGACGGAGCAACGCCGCGUGAGUGAUGAAGGUCUUCGGAUCGUAAAACUCUGUUAUUAGGGAAGAACAUAUGUGUAAGUAACUGUGCACAUCUUGACGGUACCUAAUCAGAAAGCCACGGCUAACUACGUG